AACGAACGCUGGCGGCGUGGAUUAGGCAUGCAAGUCGAACGCGAAAGAGGGGGUAACUCCUCGAGUAGAGUGGCGAACGGGUGAGUAACACGUGAGAAACCUGCCUUCAGCAGGGGGAUAACACUCCCAACGGGGUGCUAAUACCGCAUGAGACCACGGAUUCGCAUGGAUCUGGGGUCAAAGGUGGCCUCUGCUUGCAAGCUACCGGCUGAAGAUGGUCUCGCGCCCAUUAGCUAGUUGGUGGGGUAAUGGCCCACCAAGGCGACGAUGGGUAGCUGGUCUGAGAGGAUGGUCAGCCACACUGGGACUGAGAUACGGCCCAGACUCCUACGGGAGGCAGCAGUCGAGAGGCUUUGGCAAUGGGGAAACCCUGACCAAGCGACGCCGCGGUGGGGGAUGAAGGCCCUUGGGUUGUAACCCCUUUUGUUGGGGAAGAACGCGAUCAGGUGAAUAAUCUGGUCGUUUGACGGUACCCGACGAAUAAGCUCCGGCUAACUCCGUGCCA
Molecule: ribosomal RNA, 505 nt
Filed under: uncultured bacterium
Lineage: Bacteria
Description: bacterial SSU rRNA
Rfam family: Bacterial small subunit ribosomal RNA
Source: RNAcentral